GGACGAACGCUGGCGGCGUGCCUAAUACAUGCAAGUCGAACGCUCGAGUGCUUGCACUCAAGGAGUGGCGGACGGGUGAGUAACACGUGGGUAACCUACCCAUCAGAGGGGGAUAACACUUGGAAACAGGUGCUAAUACCGCAUAACAGUUUAGCCGCAUGGCAUAAGAGGAAAGGCGUUCGUGUCGCUGAUGGAUGGACCCGCGGUGCAUUAGCUAGUUGGUGAGGUAACGGCUCACCAAGGCAACGAUGCAUAGCCGACCUGAGAGGGUGAUCGGCCACACUGGGACUGAGACACGGCCCAGACUCCUACGGGAGGCAGCAGUAGGGAAUCUUCGGCAAUGGACGAAAGUCUGACCGAGCAACGCCGCGUGAGUGAAGAAGGUUUUCGGAUCGUAAAACUCUGUUGUUAGAGAAGAACAAGGAUGAGUAAAUUCAUCCCUUGACGGUAUCUAACCAGAAAGCCACGGCUAACUACGUGCCAGCAGCCGCGGUAAUACGUAGGUGGCAAGCGUUGUCCGGAUUUAUUGGGCGUAAAGCGAGCGCAGGCGGUUUCUUAAGUCUGAUGUGA
This 570-nucleotide ribosomal RNA is filed under the name uncultured bacterium. Its description in RNAcentral is "bacterial SSU rRNA". It matches the Rfam family "Bacterial small subunit ribosomal RNA", at positions 27 to 597 of the family's 1533-position model. The record is from RNAcentral.